UUUAUCAAAAACAUGGCUCCUUGUAUUCUAUAAAUGGGGAGUCGGACCUGCCCGGUGAAAUGAUUUAACGGCCGCGGUACCCUGACCGUGCGAAGGUAGCAUAAUAAUUUGCCUUAUAAUUGAAGGCUUGUAUGAAUGGUUUGACUAGAACAGAACUGUCUCUUUAUAACUUCAUAAAACUUUAUCUUUAGGUGAAGAAGCCUAAAUAAAAUUAAUAGACAAGAAGACCCUAUCGAGCUUUAAAAAAAUUAAUAGAUUCAUCAUUAAUAUUUAUACACAAUUAACUACUAAAAAAUUUUAGUUGGGGCGACUAAGGAACAAACAAAACUUCCUAUACCAUAAUGAUCUACAUAUAUUGAUCCAAAACUUUUGAUUAGAGAAAUUAGUUACCGUAGGGAUAACAGCAUUAUCCUCUUUGAGAGUUCUUAUCGAAAAGAGGGUUUGUGACCUCGAUGUUGGACCAGAAUAUCCUAAAGAUGCAGAAGUCUUUAAAGGUUGGUCUGUUCGACCAUUAAAAUUCUACGUGAUCUGAGUUCAGACCGGCGUGAGCCAGGUCAGUUUCUAUCUUUAAUUUUUAAUCCAAGUUUAGUACGAAAGGACCAACUUGCAAUAUCAGAUAUUAAAAAAGAAAAAAUAUAAUUAAAAAUUAUCAAAUUAGCAAAUUUUAAUGCAAUUGAUUUAGGAUCAAUAGAAACAGGUGAAAAUCCUUUAGUUGAUAAAUACAGAUGGCAGACUCAGUGCAUCAUGUUU
This 750-nucleotide ribosomal RNA is filed under the name Bivetiella pulchra. RNAcentral describes it as "partial 16S ribosomal RNA". The stretch from base 1 to 593 matches the Rfam family "Bacterial large subunit ribosomal RNA", at positions 1803 to 2925 of the family's 2925-position model. The record is from RNAcentral. Lineage: Eukaryota; Metazoa; Mollusca; Gastropoda; Neogastropoda; Cancellariidae.